Long non-coding RNA from Magnolia sinica, 1650 nucleotides. RefSeq lists it as uncharacterized. The transcript is spliced from 3 exons. Lineage: Eukaryota; Viridiplantae; Streptophyta; Magnoliopsida; Magnoliales; Magnoliaceae. The record is from RefSeq and is a predicted model, not a curated record.
CAAUUGCGACUUGAGGCCAUUAGAUUAUCAAUCGUUUCUGCAACCAAAAGCCAACAUUAUUAAUAGAGAAAAUGCUACAAAUGAUGCAUUGUUCAAUGAUAAAAACUGAGAAAAUAUGAAAACAGACACAUGGCAUGCAAGCUGACUGUUAGUCGUCCAGGCUAAAGAAUCUGGCUAGUCCGCUCAUUAUAUAAGGUAGGCCAAAAUAUAGAGAAGAAAUGGCAGUUUGCAUUAAAUAUACACAAGUGUUCUCAACCUGAUUAAUGGACCAACCUGCUUUUCUUGGCCAAGGAAACUGCACGUUAUGUAUGAUCCAGGUGAUGGAUCUAUUACAUUUGUCACAUGAAUAUUGUGGUUAUAAAUGAGUGGAAUUAUCAAAUGUCCUUGUCACAAAAAAUAAAAUAAAUUCAAACAUCCUUGUCACAGAGAUAAAUAUCAUUCUCAGUAAUUUCUCUACUAGUAGAAUUCAAGGUAGAUUUUAGAUUUCGAGGUUUUCUAGGAUAUUAUUGGGAAUAUCUUGGUGAAACUAAAAAGAUUUAAAAAAUGUUUGUCACAUGAAUACUGUGUUACAAAUUCGUGGAAUUUCAAAUGUCCUUCUCAGCAAUUUCUCAGCCAGCCAGUCCCCAGACCAGGUAAAAGGAGGGUUGAUGUCAUGUAGGUAGCUGGCCUGAAGUUCUGUCAAGCAGUCAUGAGAAUUCCUGUUUCAAAUCUUGAUAGAAGAAACACUAUUUGAGUUAUGGAACAUCUUUGUUUGCUUAAAUUUUUUUUUUCUUUUUGAUGCAAUCUGUUCAUGUAUGACAAACAUAAUUAUUGGUCUUUCAUCAUGGACUUGAUGGGGGCAAAAGUCCAAAGUGACCAUGUUCUCAUACAACUAGAAUGCUAAGGUUAAUAACAUAAAAUUCCAAGUUUCUGCACGCUCAAUUGACUUUCUAGUUUAACAAUCUUAUUAUGUCUCUUUCUUCAAGUCAUUUUGAGUCCUUGAUCGAAUUUAUUGAGUUUUGAAAGCUUUUGCUUGAUCUUAUUUUCUCAACUUUCAAAGACAAGAUCAAGUUUUUGAGUACUUGAUUUCUCGUGUGCUCUUAUCAACUUCUCUUUCCUUUUCUUGUAACUAAUAUUCCCCCUUUAGUAUUUCUUAAGACGAGUUGAAUCUCCUCAGCUUUCUUGGGCACUAAACACUGUUGUUUUUAGAUGUAACUUCUCACUAAAGAUUCACAGUCUUCUUGAAAAAUAAUGUAAAACCAACCCCAAAUAAAGGGCCCAAAAUGAAGCACCCACAUUUGUUUGAAAAGUUAUGUUUGCUGAUAAUAUGAAAAAUUUCGGGGUUUUUUCUUCAUUCUAGGGGAGAUUUAUUCAUAUGUAUUUUCUAAUUUGCCAAAAGCUAAAACAUUUUAAGUUAGUGGAAAGAUUUUGAUGAGGACAUCAGAGCACCAUUCAUUAGGCUUUGGUUGGAGUGGGAGGCAAACUGCCUUAGUGGGAAUUUAAAUGCUGCCAACUCUCUCUCUCAGACGAAGCUCUGAGUUCUAACAUGGACUGGUCAAAGCAUCCAAAAUCUGUGUUGAUUAUGGACGAGGUUGAUGGAAACCUAUGAAACAACAGGUUCUUUGUUUGCUUGAUGUUGAUGCAGAAUAGCCUGUGAAGACUUUUCUAACC